This 85-nucleotide transfer RNA is filed under the name bacterium. RNAcentral describes it as "tRNA-Leu". It matches the Rfam family "tRNA". Rfam says of the family: Transfer RNA (tRNA) molecules are approximately 80 nucleotides in length. Their secondary structure includes four short double-helical elements and three loops (D, anti-codon, and T loops). The record is from RNAcentral.
GCCGGAGUGGUGGAAUUGGUAUACACGCUCGACUUAAAAUCGGGUCCCUUACGGGAUGCGGGUUCGAUUCCCGCCUCCGGCACAA